UUAAGUUCAGCGGGUAGUCUUACCUGAUUUGAGGUCAAAAAUGUCAAGAGUUGUCCAGUGAAGGACGGUUAGAAGCAGGUCGUAACAGCCUUCCAAUCCACGGCGUAGAUAAUUAUCACACCAAUAGAUUAGGGGCCAAACCCACUAAUACAUUUCAGAGGAGCAGACCACGAGAGUGGACCUGCAACCCCCACAUCCAA
This 200-nucleotide unclassified non-coding RNA is filed under the name Coprinopsis sp. RNAcentral's name for it is "partial internal transcribed spacer 2". Lineage: Eukaryota; Fungi; Basidiomycota; Agaricomycetes; Agaricales; Psathyrellaceae. The record is from RNAcentral.